RNAcentral lists this ribosomal RNA (500 nucleotides) under uncultured Clostridia bacterium. Its description in RNAcentral is "bacterial SSU rRNA". It matches the Rfam family "Bacterial small subunit ribosomal RNA", at positions 1 to 509 of the family's 1533-position model. The record is from RNAcentral. Lineage: Bacteria; Bacillati; Bacillota; Clostridia.
CAACAGCUAGAGUUUGAUCCUGGCUCAGGAUAAACGCUGGCGGCGCACAUAAGACAUGCAAGUCGAACGAACUUAACCAUUAGUUUACUAUUGGAGCGGUUAGUGGCGGACUGGUGAGUAACACGUAAGCAACCUGCCUAUCAGAGGGGAACAACAGUUAGAAAUGACUGCUAAUACCGCAUAUGCCUUAAUAUCUGCAUGGAUAUAGAGGGAAAGGAGCAAUCCGCUAACAGAUGGGCUUGCGUCUGAUUAGAUAGUUGGUGGGGUAAAGGCCUACCAAGUCGACGAUCAGUAGCCGGACUGAGAGGUUGAACGGCCACAUUGGGACUGAGAUACGGCCCAGACUCCUACGGGAGGCAGCAGUCGGGAAUAUUGCGCAAUGGAGGAAACUCUGACGCAGUGACGCCGCGUGCAGGAAGAAGGUUUUCGGAUUGUAAACUGCUUUAGACAGGGAAGAAAAAGACAGUACCUGAAGAAAAAGCACCGGCUAACUACGUGCC